GACGAACGCUGGCGGCGUGCUUAACACAUGCAAGUCGAACGGAAAGGCCCUGCUUUUGUGGGGUGCUCGAGUGGCGAACGGGUGAGUAACACGUGAGUAACCUGCCCUUGACUUUGGGAUAACUUCAGGAAACUGGGGCUAAUACCGGAUAGGAUCUCCUGCUGCAUGGUGGGGGUUGGUAAGUUUCGGCGGUUGGGGAUGGACUCGCUGCUUAUUAGCUUGUUGGUGGGGUAGUGGCUUACCAAGGCUUUGACGGGUAGCCGGCCUGAGAGGGUGACCGGCCACAUUGGGCCUGAGAUACGGCCCAGACUACUACGGGACGCAGCAGUGGGGAAUAUUGCACAAUGGGCGGAAGCCUGAUGCAGCAACGCCGCGUGCGGGAUGACGGCCUUCGGGUUGUAAACCGCUUUCGCCUGUGACGAAGCGUGAGUGACGGUAAUGGGUAAAGAAGCACCGGCUAACUACGUG
This 468-nucleotide ribosomal RNA is filed under the name uncultured bacterium. RNAcentral describes it as "partial 16S ribosomal RNA". It matches the Rfam family "Bacterial small subunit ribosomal RNA", at positions 28 to 507 of the family's 1533-position model. The record is from RNAcentral.